Molecule: ribosomal RNA, 446 nt
Filed under: uncultured bacterium
Lineage: Bacteria
Description: partial 16S ribosomal RNA
Rfam family: Bacterial small subunit ribosomal RNA
Source: RNAcentral
CCUACGGGAGGCAGCAGUCGAGAAUCAUUCACAAUGGGGGAAACCCUGAUGGUGCGACGCCGCGUGGGGGAAUGCAGGUCUUCGGAUUGUAAACCCCUGUCAUGUGGGAGCAAAUUAAAAAGAUAGUACCACAAGAGGAAGACACGGCUAACUCUGUGCCAGCAGCCGCGGUAAUACAGAGGUCUCAAGCGUUGUUCGGAAUCACUGGGCGUAACGCGUGCGUAGGCUGUUUCGUAAGUCGUGUGUGAAAUGUGCGGGCUCAACCCGGGGACUGCAGAUGAUACUGCGAGACUAGAGUAAUGGAGGGGGAACCGGAAUGUGCGGUGUAGCAGUGAAAUGCGUAGAUAUCGAGAGGAACACUCGUGGCGAAGGCGGGUUCCUAGACAUUAACUGACGCUGAGGCACGAAGGCCAGGGGAGCGAAAGGGAUUAGAUACCCCUGUAGUC